Molecule: ribosomal RNA, 498 nt
Filed under: uncultured bacterium
Lineage: Bacteria
Description: partial 16S ribosomal RNA
Rfam family: Bacterial small subunit ribosomal RNA
Source: RNAcentral
GACGAACGCUGGCGGCGUGCCUAAUACAUGCAAGUCGAGCGGACGGAUGGGAGCUUGCUCCCAGACCGUCAGCGGCGUACGGGUGAGUAACACGUGGGCAACCUGCCUGUAAGACUGGGAUAACUCCGGGAGACCGGGGCUAAUACCGGAUAACUCUUUCCCUCACAUGAGGGAAAGCUGAAAGAUAGCAUCUCGCUAUCACUUACAGAUGGGCCCGCGGCGCAUUAGCUAGUUGGUUAGGUAACGGCUCACCAAGGCAGCGAUGCGUAGCCGACCUGAGAGGGACGUCGGCCACACGGGCUGAGAGCCAGGGCGCAGACACUUAGGGGGGGACGCAGUCGGGAAUCUUACGCAAUGGAGGAGAGGCUGACAGAGCAACGCGGCGGGAGCGAUGAUGGUUUGAGGACCGUAAAACGAUGUUGUAAGGCAGGAAGAAAACCUGGAGCAGCAGCGGAGACAUUGACGGUACCUGACCAGAAAGCCCCGGCUAACUACGUG